This 570-nucleotide long non-coding RNA is filed under the name Solanum tuberosum (potato). RNAcentral's name for it is "long non-coding RNA (STUB_LNC002233)". Lineage: Eukaryota; Viridiplantae; Streptophyta; Magnoliopsida; Solanales; Solanaceae. The record is from RNAcentral.
ACGAGGCAUUUGACAGGAAGGAUUUUGCUGCGGCUAGAGAUGCUUAUACGCUAGUACCUAUUGGGCUUAUUGAAUUCUUCCUGUAUACCCAACACUAACCCUUCCCCAGUAAAAUACCUGCAAAAGGGAAAAAGAAAGAAGAUAAUGAUGAGAUGAAGUAGUCAUCCUCUUCAUGUUGCAAGUAAUUAAUAAUGUGUAUGCAUUACUUACUGAGCUCACUUGUGUUUGCUGAUACUCUGCAGGCAAUCAGUUCUGAUCCAACUGAUGGCACUCUGUUUUCCAAUAGAAGUGAUUGUUGGUUCCACCUGGGGCAAGGUGAAUCUGCCUUAACUGAUGCCAAGGCCUGCAAAAAACUUGGACAAGAUUUGGCAAAGGCUUAUUAUCGGGAAGGUGCAGCUAUACGUCUAUUGCAGGCAUGCUCCCCCUUCCUCUCCUGGAAUCAAAUUUUGCCAACUUAUAUACCUAUAUGUUCUGAUAUUCUAAUAUUUCCUUCUCAGAGGUUUGAAGAGGCAGCCAAUGCUUUCUAUAGGGGCAUCCAGAUCGACCCUAAUGAUGAGCUCAUAACUGCUU